CCUACGGGAGGCAGCAGUGGGGAAUCUUCCGCAAUGGGCGAAAGCCUGACGGAGCAACGCCGCGUGAGUGACGAAGGCCUUCGGGUUGUAAAACUCUGUCUUCAGGGAAGAAGAAAGUGACGGUACCUGAGGAGGAAGCCCCGGCUAACUACGUGCCAGCAGCCGCGGUAAAACGUAGGGGGCGAGCGUUGUCCGGAAUUACUGGGCGUAAAGGGCGCGCAGGCGGUCUGUUAAGUCAGAGGUGAAAACUCCCGGCUCAACCGGGGGACUGCCUUUGAAACUGGCGGACUUGAGGGCAGGAGAGGGGAGUGGAAUUCCCGGUGUAGCGGUGAAAUGCGUAGAUAUCGGGAGGAAGGCCGGUGGCGAAGGCGGCCCUCUGGCGCUUGACUGACGCUGAGGCGCGAAAGCGUGGGGAGCAAACAGGAUUAGAUCCCCCGGUAGU
RNAcentral lists this ribosomal RNA (442 nucleotides) under uncultured Peptococcaceae bacterium. RNAcentral's name for it is "partial 16S ribosomal RNA". It matches the Rfam family "Bacterial small subunit ribosomal RNA", at positions 338 to 794 of the family's 1533-position model. The record is from RNAcentral. Lineage: Bacteria; Bacillati; Bacillota; Clostridia; Eubacteriales; Peptococcaceae.